This 253-nucleotide ribosomal RNA is filed under the name uncultured bacterium. RNAcentral's name for it is "partial 16S ribosomal RNA". It matches the Rfam family "Bacterial small subunit ribosomal RNA", at positions 524 to 776 of the family's 1533-position model. The record is from RNAcentral.
UACGUAGGGUGCGAGCGUUAAUCGGAAUUACUGGGCGUAAAGCGUGCGCAGGCGGCUUUGCAAGACAGGCGUGAAAUCCCCGGGCUUAACCUGGGAAUGGCGCUUGUGACUGCAAAGCUGGAGUGCGGCAGAGGGGGAUGGAAUUCCGCGUGUAGCAGUGAAAUGCGUAGAUAUGCGGAGGAACACCGAUGGCGAAGGCAAUCCCCUGGGCCUGCACUGACGCUCAUGCACGAAAGCGUGGGGAGCAAACAGG